Molecule: ribosomal RNA, 513 nt
Filed under: uncultured bacterium
Lineage: Bacteria
Description: partial 16S ribosomal RNA
Rfam family: Bacterial small subunit ribosomal RNA
Source: RNAcentral
GACGAACGCUGGCGGCGUGCUUAACACAUGCAAGUCGAACGAAAAGAGGGAAAGAGCUUGCUCUUUCCGGAAUUGAGUGGCAAACGGGUGAGUAACACGUAAACAACCUGCCUUCAGGAUGGGGACAACAGACGGAAACGACUGCUAAUACCGAAUAAGUUCCAAGGGCCGCAUGGCCCAUGGAAGAAAAGGUGGCCUCUACCUGUAAGCUAUCGCCUGAAGAGGGGUUUGCGUCUGAUUAGCUGGUUGGAGGGGUAACGGCCCACCAAGGCGACGAUCAGUAGCCGGUCUGAGAGGAUGAACGGCCACACUGGAACUGAGACACGGUCCAGACUCCUACGGGAGGCAGCAGUGGGGAAUCUUCCGUAAUAGGCGAAAGCCUGACGGAGCAACGCCGCGUGAGUGAUGACGGCCUUCGGGUUGUAAAACUCUGUGAUCCGGGACGAAAAGGCAGAGUGCGAAGAACAAACUGCAUUGACGGUACCGGAAAAGCAAGCCACGGCUAACUACGUG